This 408-nucleotide ribosomal RNA is filed under the name uncultured bacterium. RNAcentral's name for it is "bacterial SSU rRNA". It matches the Rfam family "Bacterial small subunit ribosomal RNA", at positions 82 to 526 of the family's 1533-position model. The record is from RNAcentral.
CGGAAAUUUUUUCGUGGCGUACGGGUGAGUAAAUGCAGAAUUUUCCCUUUCAGUUCAGGACAAAUAACGCUUUAAGCGUUAAAAUCCUGAAUAUUUUCAAAGGUUUACUCCGCUGAAAGAUAAAUCUGUUUAAGAUUAGGUUGUUGGUAAUUUAAAAGCUUACCAAGCCCAUGAUCUUUAGUUGGUCUGAGAGGACGAUCAACCACACUGGAACUGAAACAAGGUCCAGGCUAAUACGUUGGCCAGCAGUGAGGAAUAUUGGAGUCAAUGAACGAAAGUUUGAUCCAGCAAUACUAACUGGGUGAUGACGGCUUAUUAAGUUGUAAGAUCCUUUAAUUAAAAAAGAUAAUGACAUUAUUUAAUUGAAUUAGUUCUGGCUAAUACUCGUGCCAGCAGCCGCGGUAAUAC